UACGUAGGGUGCGAGCGUUAAUCGGAAUUACUGGGCGUAAAGCGUGCGCAGGCGGUUUUGUAAGCCGGAUGUGAAAUCCCCGGGCUUAACCUGGGAAUGGCAUUCGGGACUGCAAGGCUGGAGUUCGGGAGAGGAGCGUGGAAUUCCCAGUGUAGAGGUGAAAUUCGUAGAUAUUGGGAAGAACACCGGUGGCGAAGGCGGCGCUCUGGACCGAGACUGACGCUGAGGCGCGAAAGCGUGGGGAGCAAACAGG
RNAcentral lists this ribosomal RNA (253 nucleotides) under uncultured bacterium. Its description in RNAcentral is "partial 16S ribosomal RNA". It matches the Rfam family "Bacterial small subunit ribosomal RNA", at positions 524 to 776 of the family's 1533-position model. The record is from RNAcentral.